This 496-nucleotide ribosomal RNA is filed under the name uncultured bacterium. RNAcentral describes it as "partial 16S ribosomal RNA". It matches the Rfam family "Bacterial small subunit ribosomal RNA", at positions 29 to 507 of the family's 1533-position model. The record is from RNAcentral.
AUGAACGCUGGCGGCGUGCCUAAUACAUGCAAGUCGAGCGAACGGACGAGAAGCUUGCUUCUCUGAUGUUAGCGGCGGACGGGUGAGUAACACGUGGAUAACCUACCUAUAAGACUGGGAUAACUUCGGGAAACCGGAGCUAAUACCGGAUAAUAUUUUGAACCGCAUGGUUCAAAAGUGAAAGACGGUCUUGCUGUUACUUAUAGAUGGAUCCGCGCUGCAUUAGCUAGUUGGUAAGGUAACGGCUUACCAAGGCAACGAUGCAUAGCCGACCUGAGAGGGUAAACGGCCACACUGUAACUGAGACACGGUCCAGACUCCUACGGGAGGCAGAAGUAGGGAAUCUUCCGCAAUGGGCGAAAGCCUGACGGAGCAACGCCGCGUGAGUGAUGAAGGUCUUCGGAUCGUAAAACUCUGUUAUUAGGGAAGAACAUAUGUGUAAGUAACUGUGCACAUCUUGACGGUACCUAAUCAGAAAGCCACGGCUAACUACGUG